UCCAGCGUUGUUGGUGGACGUGAGAAAGCUUGUCUCCAUCAACAAUGCCACCAACAAAGAUGUUGUCGACCGCCCCACCAAAGAUGUUGAUGACCCUGAUGCUGAGAGUGACGGCCCAGGUGAAACGUCACUUUGCACACCUUGCAGACCUUCACAAGUGAAAAUCGGGAAUGAUGGAACAGUCACUGUCUCGUCACAUUGUUGGGAGACUGCAAAAGCUAGUACCACCCCCAAUGGGAUGGCACGGGUGCUACUGAUGGGGCUCUUCAGUGUAGAUGUCCUCCUCAAGUCCAACCUGAAAGGAGGAGUCAGCAAGCUAGAUCCCACUGCUGAUCGUCGGCAGGCUCUCGACCCGAGGAAACUUCAAGCUUUACUAGGGCCCGAGCCCCGAUGGUGUGAGGACCCUAUUGGAAUUGCUCCGCCACCUACAAUAUUUCAACGAAGUGCCCCUUGCACCACAUUUCACAUACAGGUAUGAAAUUCAGUAGACACAUGUAACAGCCCAAUCCCUACAAUCCCGUGUGCGAGAGCCCUUUUAUCGCUGCUUGCAGCUUUAAUUUUGCAUUGUAUUCUUUUUUUUUUUUUUUUUUUUUUUGUGGGAUUACACUUGUACACAUGAUUGAACAUGUGAUUGUGAUUGAGCAUGCACUUAAUUAAUAUGUGUGUUCGACAUCGGUUGCAGCUGGAUGCAAUCGAUCGGCGAGAGUAGCCGUGUACAGGCGGGGAGGAGCUGAAAACGGAGACGUGAAGUCGGACACUUUCUGCUUCCCGUAGUGACGUUUGCAUACUUUAUCAUAGCUGAAGUGAAAUGCAAUAUUUGACUAAUACACUGAUGUUUCAGAAACAUUUUCAUUCAAUACUUUAUGUACUGCUUACAGCAUCUGUUUGUACAAGAAUAAAGUUCAACAUAAGCAUAUAUUAUUUAAACACCAAUGUAGUGGGGUCUACUUUUUUUAUGUUUUAUUUUGAUAAAGAUGACACAAUAUAACAUCGCGACUACAUGAAAAAAACUUUAACUGUUAUAAAAAUACAGAUUUGUGAGCAUUAGUGGAACCUUUGGUGGAACUGAAGGUUUCAGAAUAAACAUGAAACACACGUGAUCGUUGUCAUGUGGUGAAUUCGACCAAUCGUGAAACAGCUGUGUCGCCAUCAGAGCUUGUGCAGCUGCUCUUGAGAUGCUGCGCUGGCUCAAGCGGCAACCUCCCCCAGUUUCCGUUGAAGCCAAUACAAAAGUGACUUAAACUGCAAUUCAUCGACUGGCCGCUAGGGACAGGCUCCAAAAGAGAGCAGAAUCUCACUGACCCCCACGUUAAAAUGGCCAACUUUACAGCAGAAAAAAAACAUGUUUACAGCUUGGUACAAAUUGUGGUUUUGGUCUAUACUGCUAAUUUUGCCCUUCAUGACAACUCUGAGGGGGGUGAUUUUUUUUUAUAACUCAUCCAUUUAAAUUAAGCCUUAAAGUAAUAACUAAUAAGGAUAAGUUAUAUCAUUAGAAUAUUAAUAUUUUAGAUAGUAUCUAAGAUAGAUAGAUAGCUCCUUUGCCUGCUAACAUGAUCACGUUGAGCUAGGCGGGCAUGGUUUCAGUAACCAUGGCACCUCAGUUCCAACCACGUCCCGCCUCUUUGCCCAUUUUCAGUUAUCCGGGAGUGACGUGCGGUGACGCGCAGCUAAGAUGGCAGUGGCCUCAUUUUCGCUUCAAAAAUGCUCUUCAGAAAUCUACGGGUGACGUCACGGACACUACAUCCAUAUUUUUUUUUACAGUAGGCUCGUUUGAGAUGAGUAAAAUCUGCGCAGAACCGAUCACUGCAAGAUGCGUGCCGGUUAGAAAUGUGUCCGAGGGUGGGCCACCUUGCUCUGAUGUCAUGUCGACGUGUGUCAAAAAAGUCUCGCAAUGGCGAGGCGGCCUCAUCGGAUUCUGCAGUCGGGCGCAGUUGCUCUCCACCGACUGUGCUAACGAAAAGCACGAUGGGAAACGACUUUGCUGACGACACAGCUUAAUGCUCAUUGGUUUAAACAACCAUGAUGUAUUGAUCUCUUUUAAAAUGUUUGAUUUUAAAACUCUAAUAUAAUGAUUUUAUGUGUAUAAAUUAUGUGUGAAUAUUCCCAAACUCUCUGACAGUGCGAUCUCUCUGUGGGUUAUGUGAUUGUUGUCAUAUUUAUAAAAAUACAUAAAAAUGAAACACAGACCUACAACACACUCAUUAUACAGAAUAAUGAAUAUUAGUAUACGAGCAUGGAGAAAAAAUGACAACAAACUCCUAAGCACAAGGGAGAAAUGUGAGAAAUGUACAAGAAUAUUUAAAAGGGCUAAUAAUAUUUUCAUUGCAUUAAAAUAGAAUAAAGACAAUAGUUACUUUUUUUGUCCAUUCUUCUUUGAAUUUUCGAUCUAAAUCAGUCUUUUGUCUAUCAGAAUAAUCGUGUCAUCGCGUUCAGACACCACUGUAUCCGUGUCCAGUUUGCACAUAUAUUUGAUUUGAAGACGACAUGAUGAAAUGUGUGUUCAUACACUGUGCUGGUUCAUGUUUGUUGCAGGAGAGUGUGUGAAAUACAUCUAUAAAAACUUUAAACAUGGAUACUUUAUUCUGUAUAUGAUCUAUAAUCCAUGUGGUUAGAGUUGUUAAACUCAUCGCGGAGUUCCGCGCUGAAACCGAUCAUAUGCGCGCUCCGCGUGUAUAUCAUAUCAAUCGUAUUUUUCAUGAGUUCGUAUUCAAACUCAAUUUCAGACCGCAUCGCGGGCAAAAUACAAACAACAUUCGUGCUAUGUGCUGAGGUAAACACACACACGGCUCGCGUGUCCGAACGCAGAGCAGGCAGAGGUGAAUGAGCAGCACUUUUGUGACAUUUUAUUCUCCGCUGUAAUGCGAUCUCAUACGAACAUAUUUUCCAUUUUUGCUGCUGGACAACAGCAAAACAAACCACCUGCACCAAAACUUCAGCUCUGGUCGCGUCGCAGGAAAACGCAUUUUUGUGUUGUAGCACUGAGGAAACAAGCACCUACGACCCAUGUCUCUGAACAGGGACGUGCACAGACAUUUUGGGGGGCAGGGGCUCAAGUUAUUUAUAUUUAUUUAUAAUAAACAAAACGUUAAAUAUAUUAACACAACUCUGACUUUCUUACCAAUUUAUUUUAAUUCCCUCACACUACAUAAUUGUUUCAUACUGCACAGAUUUCUACAAAAUAAUCAGUUCACACAGAAACCAUGGUCUUCUUUAGUAUUCACUAGGUUUAUCACAACAGCAAAGGACACUAUGCCACAGUGUGCAUGUUUUCUACACUACUAUUUUCAAGUAGCUACAUAUUUAGAAUAAAUGACUGCACCAAGGAGAGGGACAUAGUUUCGCUAAUAAUUUGUUUAUUUUGCACAAAUCAAUAAAUCGUUUUAAUUCUUUUGGUGUUAUUGGAACACUUCUUUCAUGUAGUGGACAAUUUUGAGAUUUUGGUCUAUUUUUGCUUCCCUGUCUUCUUUUACUCUAAUGGAAAGAAAACUUCCAAAAUACACAUUUAGAUGGUGUUUGUUUUAAGCCUACUACCCUCUGUAUGUUUGCAUCUGUAGAUUUCUUCUAAAUUAACCAAAACAAGCUAAUCUGCAUAUUUAAACACAUCAAGAGUUUUUUCCCCUGAAAUGUUACAAGUACAUAAUAUUUAUAUUAUAUUAUAAUAAAUGCCUGCAGAGGGCGCCAAAAGUCUGGUGAUUGUUCUUGUUACACAGCACGAUCAAAUCCUUGUUUUGGGCCAACCAGGAUAAUUAAAAAUAUAAUAUUAGUUAAAUAAUAAUAAUCGACCACUUCUUUAUGAUAGAAAUGCUACAGCCACUGUAAUUUCUGAAGACAUCAAAACAUGCACACUCAGAGCGAGGAACUUUCAUUGAUGUAUUUAUUAUCCUGUGUAAGCGUAGAUUUAAGAAAGAUAGCAUUAUGCAAUGUUGUAUUGUGAUUUUUAAAUGGUUUUAAUAAAUCGUGCAUCCUUAGAAAACUGUCUAAUAAUGCGGUUUAUGGAUCCGCGUCCGUGGAAUGCUCCUCUUCUGGUAUUGACAGCCCUACAGAUAUCUUUACCAUGGUUCAAAACGCAAUGCAUAGUACAUUAAAAUAACUGAAAUUAUAAUAUUACAUAAAUUGCAUUAGUAUCAAAUCAGGCAGAUGCGUUGCUGGUGGCCAAAAUAAUUAACGCGGCAUUAAACGUUUAAUCUCACCCUUAAAUAGCCAAAAAUUUCACAUGUUUGUGAACAUAGGCUACCUGAAAGAGAUGCACGGGAUUCAUCUAGGGCAGGGGUUCUCAACCUUUUGCAAGCUGGGCCCCCCAAAGCUGGUUCAUUGCAGUUGGGGCCCCAUUAUUAUUAUUAUUAUUAUUAUGAGUAGUAGGCCUAUCAUCAUUACUAGGCUAUUGCUAUAUAAUUAUAUGAGGUUACAUGCUUUAUUGUUGUUGUUAUUAUUAUAAUUAUUAUUAUUAUUAUCAUCAGUAGGCCUAUUAUCAUUUGCUAUAAUUGGGAAUUGGCACCAGACCUCUGAUAUUGAUUUAUGCUUUAUUAUUGUUAUUACUAGGCCUAAUAGUAGGCAUCAUCUGCAUUUUUUACAGAAGCUUGCAGGUAAAGGAAAGCUUUAACUGUAGCCUAUAUUCUGACUAGUUUAUUCGUUCAUAUAUAUAUAUUAUAUAUAUAUAUAUAUAUAUAUAAAACUAAAUACGACCUCACGUUUUAUACGUUUGCAGCCUCUGAAACUUCCGUCCGUCAUAAAAAUUCGGAUGGUUCGAUUUUCUUCAUUUUUCGCAUCCGUAUCAAAUAUUUUGAGGGGUGUUUUUGACAACUGAGAGCCACCAAAUGACGAUUAUAUGAAAAAACGAAUACGACAGUUUCGGACUCAGUCAGGGUGCAAGGACCUUAAACUUUUGAGGCUUGCGCAGCUUCUCGAGGAGAAAUCAAACAAAUGAGCGCCGUUUUCUAAAGUCUAUGAGUGCAGCACACACAAAUAAACUAAAUUGACAUACUGCAGUUAAAUUUCAAAAUGUGGUGUUUUUAUAUUUAUAACAUUUGAAUACAGUCAAAGUCCCUUUAAGACAAGUCAUUUUCAAUUUUCAAGUCAACAACUGUCUCAUAAUUUUUUUUCCCAAACGCUCAAAUCAUGCCAAAAAACAGUAUUUAGGCUGGAUCAAGCUAAUGCGCAUGCGCAGACCUAAAUGCGCGUCUCUUGUGCCUCAUUUCGGAGGCGCGCGUCUGACUGUUUCUAUAGAAACCGGUGCUUCUAACGGCCGCUGCAGUGACGCGAUGACUUUACAGGUCGGCGAUUGGCUCUUAUUUUGAAGGCGGGACUUAUUCCGCCAUAUUGAGCGUUACACUUUCUCCCAUUCAAAACAAUACGAGUGACAUGUCUUGUGUUAUUCUAUAGUCUUUGAUACAGUUCAGCAACAUACAUCACACGACCUGACGACCAAGAGAGCUGACAACUGACCAUCACUUAAUUUACCAUCACCUCUCGAUUGAAAAUGUGACACUGAUAUGACAGUUCAACAAACAAGUUAAUAAUAUUAAGUCACUUACAUUUUAGACGAAAUAAUGACUGUUUUGGUCUAUUUUAGCAGAUCCGAUGAAUCCAAACAAAGAUCACAACAUAGCGCAUCUCACAGCAACACUCAAUUGUGUUUUGAAUGAUUCAGUGUUUUGAACAAAUCGUUUGAGUCAAAGAUUCAAUGACCCAUUCACAAACAUCUGUCUCAUUCUUGAUGAAUCGGCCGUUUGAACGAAUCGUGAAUGAACGACUCAAUGACUCGCUUAAUAAAACCGCUUAUCACCUGCAUUUGCGCUCACUAUCGACAAACCAAUCAAAUUUGUUCAAAACUUUUUUUUUUUUUAAAUCAGUCCAAACACAUUUUAAUUUUAUUCAGGAGUUAUGUAUAUACAAAACUAUAACUUUUUAUGACGGUAGUGUAGUGAUAAAAAAAAUUUGCAAAUUUUUUUUUUCAGGGUUUUUUUUCCCCUCCCAUCCUGUAGCCUACUCGCGCCCCCACCGGUUGAGAACCACUGAUCUAGGGCUUUUUUCUUUUUCGCUUCUCUUCGCCAGACAGCUGUUGUCUUUUGAAGAAAAAGGGCAGGUGCUCAGGCCCCCUUUGAUGUCUAUGUGUGCACGUGCCUGUCUCUGAAUAACAGAGACAAAAGCAAGAGAAGUGAUACUUCCUCGCGCAUAAUACCGCAAUUAUAAUCUUAUGCAUACUACAGCGCAGUGAUUGGAUUUAAUGUGCUUUUUGUCAUGAAUAAAUCCAGAUCUUGCCGGUAUUAAACGAUGACGUCAGAUUUUGUGACGUUUAAACUCAAGUUAACGUACAGUAUUUUGUUAAUUUUACAUAACAUUAUUUUAAUAAGUAUCACAAUUAAAAUAAAAGUUCAAAGCAUUCAUAUCUUAUGGAUGUUUAUAAGAAUACCUAACUUUUGCUACUUUAAAGAAGACAAAGACCACUUAUAAAUAUUAUUAGUACAUUAUAAAGCUUUGUUUUUUUGUUACAAUAAGCAGUAAAAUUCCACUCACAAGAUGUAGAACGAUACUAUGGAGAUCUUCAGUAAACAAUGAAGAUAUGAGACUUGAGAAAUUACAAUAUUUAACUGAGAUAUAUAAUACAUAAGUGGAUAAAAUUGUUCAUUUUGUGUUAUACAUAUUUUUAAUAGUCACAACUACAACUUAUUACUGCUGUUAUGAUUCGUCAUUAGAUGAUACAAUUAAUUAAUAAGGCAUUAUGUGUGCAUUAUAAGAAUACCCUUACGAUGCAUUAUAAAUGCAUGCUUCAUCUGGAUCUAUAAUGCAUCAUACUCUUAAAAGGUACAACCACAAAUAGCUAAGUAUCAUAAUAACUGUAGUUAUAACACAUUUAUAAGAUGUUACAACACAAUGUUGUUAAUAAUGCAUUAAGAAUACCCUUAUAAUGCAUUACAAAUGCAGGCUUCAUAGAAAGUGUUACCGAAUUUUGUUUCUAGCCCUUACGAAUAUUAAAUUAUUAGCAUAAACGUGAGUGAAAAUUUGGACAGGUGGUGGUGCUAGAGGGAUUGAGCUAGAGACUCAAAAUUUGCUCUGGUGACAGUUCAAACUGUCCUCUACCUGUGUGCCAAAUUUCAUAACUUUCCCACAAGCGGUUCUAUGGGCUGCCAUAGACUCCCAGAGCAGAAGA
Long non-coding RNA from Ctenopharyngodon idella (grass carp), 7147 nucleotides. RefSeq lists it as uncharacterized. The transcript is spliced from 3 exons. NCBI's taxonomy places the organism in Eukaryota, Metazoa, Chordata, Actinopteri, Cypriniformes, Xenocyprididae. The record is from RefSeq and is a predicted model, not a curated record.